GCUGGGCAUGGUGGCGGGUGCCUGUAAUCCCAGCUACUCGGGAGGCUGAGGCGGGAGAAUUGCCUGAACCCAGGAGGCGGAGGUUGCGGUGAGCCGAGAUUGCUCGCUCUUGUUACCCGGUGGGAGUGUAAUGGUGCGAUCUCGGCUCACCGCAACCUCCGCCUCCUGGGUUCAGGCAAUUGUCCCGCCUCAG
This 193-nucleotide signal recognition particle RNA is filed under the name Callithrix jacchus (white-tufted-ear marmoset). Its description in RNAcentral is "Metazoan signal recognition particle RNA (ENSCJAG00000065671.2)". It matches the Rfam family "Metazoan signal recognition particle RNA". From Rfam's summary of the family: The signal recognition particle (SRP) is a universally conserved ribonucleoprotein. It is involved in the co-translational targeting of proteins to membranes. The record is from Rfam by way of RNAcentral. Lineage: Eukaryota; Metazoa; Chordata; Mammalia; Primates; Cebidae.